Molecule: long non-coding RNA, 5818 nt
Organism: Capra hircus (goat)
Lineage: Eukaryota; Metazoa; Chordata; Mammalia; Artiodactyla; Bovidae
Source: Ensembl
GUGAGCGUCAAGUUGAGAGCCAGCAAGGAUAAGAGCGAAGCUUCAACCAAGUUUGAGGAGUAUGGUCCAGUCAUCAAAUAUGAUGACACUGUGAAAGACUAUGCCUUUGUACACAUGGAGUGGGCAGAGGGUGCAGUGGAGGCUGACAGGGGCCUUGAUAGUUCCCAGGCAAAAGAAUGCACGUGCAGUUGUCCGCCAGCUGCUCUGGACUGCCCCUGGGAUGGGAGACUGGAGUGGCGGCUGUCAGUGUGAGAAAGAGGGGCCCUGGUCAAAAGAGUGCCCAAUAGAUCGUACGGGUCGUGUGGCGGACUUACCAAGCAAUUAUAAUGAACAGUAUGGAGCGGUGCACAUACCUUAAGCCAUGGGCUACGGGGAAUCCGUUUCUUACAAUGAUGCUAUCCUACAGAGCACGUGACUACUGUGAGCGCUCCUGAGCUCACUUUCACGAGGCAGUAGUGGCAGCAGCAGCGUCUGCACGCGACUACGCAGGGCAGACCAUGUCCCAUCUGCCUCAAGUCCAGAACACAGCUGUGACCCGCCGCCUCAGCUCCACUUCCGUUGAUCCUGACAGACAAACACCUGUUGCCAAACUCAGGCACUGCUGCCGCCACUGCCACCACUUCCUCCUGUGAUGGAGGGGACAGGAGCCCCCUGCCUCCUGCAGCAGGGCUGUGCGCCCCACAGGUGGAGAGGGCUACGGUUACGGGCUAGAGAGUGAGCUGUCUCAGGCUUCAGCAGGCAAUUCUCUGUGACGUGGCCCAGUACGAACCGGAGCAGUAUGCAGACUGAGCUGGGUACUCAGCCUUUGAAAGAUUGGAGGAUACAAGUACCCUGUUACACCAUCCAACAUUAACUAAUGGCACACAACCCACACUUAGAGAAAGCUAUCUAAAUGACGCAAAGCCUCGGAACCAAAGCACCAGUGCUAAAAGAACACUGCUAUCAGAAAACGGAGAGCAGUCGGCAGACCCAGCCGCUGGGUCACACUGCCCUGCAGGCCGCUCUUACAGUCAGCAUUCACCAAGAGCCUAGAACUUGCUGGCACUGUGCUGGGGACUGGCAAGUUGUGAUUCCAGUAAGACGGACGCAGGCCAGUGGGGAAGGCAAGCAGCAACUGCGAGAACCAGUCUUCCCAUUCCCUGAGAAAAGCCAGACUCGGAGAAGACAGGAAAAGGGAGUUUUUCCAACCAAUGCUGUAGAAACUACCAGAAAUUCUUAUUUUAAAUAUAUAUAUAUAUAUAUAUUUACUUAUUUGGCUAUCAGGUCUUCAUUGCAGCAUACAAACUCUUGGUUGUGGCAUAUGGGAUCUAGUUUCCUGCCCAGGGAUCGAACUCAGGGCCCCAGCAUUGGGAACACAGAGCCUUAGUCACUGGACCACCAAGGAAGUCCCAGAAAUCCUUAUUUUUGUUUUUUAAUUAAGCAUAAUCCUAAAAAAAAAAUUAAGCAGAGCCCUUACCUCACACUAUGCAUACAAUAACUUGAAAUGGAUCAUAGAUGUAAUUGUAAAACCUAAAACUAAAUAAAUUCUAGGAGAACAUAUUUGUGACUUUGAAUUGGGCAAAAUUUUCUUAUAUUUGACUCAAAAGCACAAACCAUUAAGAAAAAUGGUGGUGUGGGUGAGGAAUAACAGGAAUAAGUUAGAGUAAUGCUGUUAGAGUGUUGUUUUUAUAGUUAUCGUCUACUAUGGCAAGUGACAUGGAUCUCCAAUUUGUGUAGUGAUAUAAUGUUUCCCUUUUAAAUAAACAUGUCUAGGCUUCCAAAAUGUGCAUGGCCCUAAGGAAAAAAAUAUGCAGGUAAGAUGCUGACUCUGAAGCUAGAACCUGGUGUUCAAAUUCUGGCUUCACCUUACCUUGGGCAACGUGAGCGUUCUUGUCUUCCCUCAGACUCCUCAUUUGUAGAAUGGCCUUGAGACAAAACUCUGACCUCAAAGGGUUAUGGGAGUAUUUACCAAGUUUCCAUAUAUAGAACACUUAGAACAUGGGAUGGUAUGCAGGAGCUCAGUAUUUACUAUAAUAAUUAUUAUUCACUAUUAUAAAAGGCAGCAAAGACAUGUCUUGGAAAACUGAAGCUUUUUCUUUUAUUCUUGAAUUAUUCCCUUUAUUGAUAUUGCUUUAGCACCAUCAGUAGAGAUCUGUGAGGAAAAUACUUGAUUGUGAAAGAAAGAAAGAAAGAAAUCCAGUGUGGAACUAGUCACAUGGGACCCCUGAGCAUUCUGAACAGCUCCUGAAAGCUGCUGAUGUCCUUCUGAAGGACUCCAACCUCUGACCUUCAAACUCUGACCUCCAAUGAGCAAAGAGACUCAAGAGUGAAAGAACAGAGUGUGGAGGGCUCAUAUUUCUGCUAUUCCCAGAAAAAAGUGACUGUUGACAAAGGGUCUCCAGCAGACCUUUGUGCCCAAAAGCUUCCUUGGAACAACAUGACAAAAAGGAAAACAAAAGGAGUGAAGCAGAUCAUUAGCUGGAGGGCCCUCUACAGCUCAUGCACAGAAACUUGUGCAGAGGUCUACUCUCUCUAUGCACCAAAGAAAAAACCGCCAAGAAAGUAACCAAGAUCAUGAGACUACGGAGCAGCUGGAGCUCUGACACACUACCCUUGUGGGCCUACAACCAUUCUGGAAGACUGUUUGGCAAUUCUCAUAAAAUGAGCUAUAUACCUGCUGUGUGAAGCAGCAAUUCUACUCCUAGUGUCAGCCUAGAGAAAUCAAGAGCCACGUGCUCAGAAACAACGGCAAAAAGAAUAGGCAUGGCUACCACAUUCGUGUCAUGGAUUAUAUGUAGCCCCAAAAGCUGAGAGCAAUUCAAAUGUUCAUCGACAGAAGAACGGAUAUGCAAGUCUGGUAUAAUCACACAGUGGGAGACUCCUCGGCAAGAAAAAGGAACAAAAGACUGACCCAUGCGACAACAUGGAUGGCUCUCAAACUGCCAGUAAAAGACGACAGAAACCAAAGAGCACUCGCUACGUAAUUCCAUUUAUUUGAAUGCAAGAAUAGUCUACAGUUACAGAGUCAGGACAGAAAGGGGCACGAGCAAAUUCACAGUAAUGGAAAUAUCCUGGUUCUUGACUGGGGUGGUGGUCACCUGGGUAUACGCAAUUGUCAAAGGCCAUCUGCACUGGGAGGAAUAGUGUCCCCCCAAAAUUCAUGUCCACCAGAAUCUUAGAAUGUGACCUUAUUUGGAAGUAGGGUCUUUGCAGCUGUAAUUAGUGAAAUUAAAGUGAGUCCAUACCAGGUUACAGAAGGCCCUCGUCCAAGGACUGAUGUCCUUAUAAGAAGAGAAAACAGAGACACGCAAGACGAAUAUAACAUGGUGACUGAGACAGAGAUCAGAAAAAUAGGCCCACACGGCACGGUGGCUGCAAGCAACCACCAGGAGCCAAGAAGAGGCAGUGAAAGGUCAAGGAAAUCACAGCCUCAUAGACACCUUGAUUCUGGCUUUCCAGCUUCCAGACCCAUGAAAGAACACACUUCUUUUCUCUUAAAGCCACCAAAUUUCUGGUACUUUGUUACAGUAGCCCCUAGGAAACUAACAGACCAUCUAACAAUGUUUAAAGUCUGUGCCUUUUAAAUAAUUUUACUACAGCUUUAAAAAUUGCAAAUAACUCAUCGGAAACAGGAAGUUGGUGAUGAGGGUUCCAACCUGGCUUCUGUUUCACCAUAUUAGACAGAAUACCUGAAGGAGAGCGAAACCCUGUUGCGCAGAAUCCACACUGAGAGAAGCCAGGCACUGCCCAAGCAGUCCCUCCCUCCCAAUGGCUCUCCCUUUCACAAUCAACCACUAUUUGCAUCUGUUUCCUCUGCCCACAGCAAAAUGCCUCUUUCACUCUCUCAAACACAAAUAUUCGGGUACCAUAGGCAGUACUACCCAGGAGAGCCACCGUGCAGAUGUCCCAUUCAAAAAUGAACCAACCCGCUUCUCAGGGAGUGCCAAGCCUCAGAAUUAAAGGCUGCAGAAAAGCCUGGUUAGGGGCUAAGCACCUUAACCCAACUUUUCAGUAACUCAAAGAUUUAUUAUCUGGAAUGCCAACAUUUAAGAAUCUUUGAUUCCUUUGCUUUCUGUAGCCCAGACACUUAGAAAAUGGGACUUUUUAUUUCAUUAUUUUGCUUCAUCUUAGAAGACCCUGACCCUGAGAACUUUUCACCUGUGGAUAUCUGCACGAGGACUGGGGUCAGCAAAGGUCAGGUAGAUCACUGAAUAAUAUAACCAUUCCGGCUCUCCCAUAUUCAUGGCUGCAGAAUUUGCCAGGCAUGAGCUCACUGAUUCCACACAACAAAGCUAGAGAUAGAAUCACUAUUAUCUUUAUUUUUUGUUUGCGGAAACUGAGGACCAGAGGGGUGAUGUAACUUGUCUGAGGUCACACAGUAGUACACAGAGGAAGGAUCUGGGCCCAGACAAACUGGCCUGGAAAUCUUAGCCACCGGGCCGCACUGCCAAGCAGAUGUCUCUUCGUUGGAUUGGGCACUGCAUUCCCCCAGCGACUGAGAGCCCAAAGGUCUGUUAUAGAUCCAGAGCUCCUUCAACUUUUUUCCCCUUCUUGAGAACCAUUAGAGCAGUGAGUCCCAAGGUCCAUUGGGACAUCCUCUAAAGCACUAUAUAAACAAAACUGAGUGGAACAGGAUUAAGGUUGUUUAAUUUUGUUUUGGGGGUUUUGGAAUGUUUUGUUUUAUUUUGAGAUGAAAGCUAACCAAACAACUAUAGAGCUGAACCGAAAAAGACUUAGAUCAGAAUCAGGCAUUUUUUCCCAACUUGAUGAAAAACCACAGUUGCUUCUUUUCCCACUUUUUUCUUUUGGUGGCAUCGUGCAGCUUGCACAACCCUCGUUCCCCGACCAGGAUCAAACCCCUGCACACGGCAGUGAGAGCACGGAGACCUAACCGCUGGACCACGAGGGGGUUCUCCAAACCCCAUUUCUAUUGUCCACUAUGCCAGGAAGGAAUGUGGAGCUGGGCUUCCUAAAAGAGAAUCAAACAAAGGGCUCCUUACUUUGCAGGUGGGUUCUUUACUGUCUGAGCCACCAGGGAGGCCGUUAGGAAAGGACACUUCAGCCCACAUGUACCAUACGUCCUGACUCUGUACAUGUCCAGAGAUCCUCUCCAGAGGAGUCCACAGUAGCUGACUCAAAGAAGAUUCUCCAGUAGGGUGGCACGCACAUUAAAAGACUAAAAGGAGGGAAUUCCCUGGAAGUCCGGUGGUUAGGACUCGACACUUUCACUGCUGUGGCCCAGGGCGAUCCUGACCAGGGGCUGAAUCUGGGCCAUGGCUGUCAAAGUCCAGAAUCCUAACUACUAGCCCACCAAGGAGCUCUCAGAAACUUAACAUAACGAUAGACCCCAGGAAGUCCAUAAAUAUUGAAUAAGCAUUUAACAAAAACACAUUAUCCUGAUUAAAAAUCCUUAAGCAGGAUUCAGUGGAUAAUUCCUUAAUAUGACAAAAUAUAUAAAUCUCAGUUAUAAGCCAGCAUUCUACUUAACUAAAAAACAACAGACACAUUCCAGCUAAAGAGAGAAAUAAUACAUCUGCGUGCACUAUCACUGUGCAGGAGGUCCUAGCCACUGCAACUAGAUACGCUAAAGAAAUGAGAGACAAAAUGACUGGACGAAGGGAUACAGUGGACGGCAUGGUGACUAUAAUUAACAAUACUGUACUGUUUAUUUGAAAGUUGCUAAAAGAAUAAAUCUUUAAAAGUUCUUGUUAUAGAAAGAAUUAUAGCUACUUGCGGUGAUGUUAACUAACUUAUUGUUGUAAUCACUUCAUAGAUAUACAUAUAUCAGAUCAUUAUGUUUGUAUCCUAAAAUGACUACAAUGUUAUAUGUCAAUUAUAU